This 31-nucleotide non-coding RNA is filed under the name Rattus norvegicus (Norway rat). The record is from RNAcentral. Lineage: Eukaryota; Metazoa; Chordata; Mammalia; Rodentia; Muridae.
UAGAUGCACCCACUUUUAUGUUUCUAGAAUC